This 1101-nucleotide long non-coding RNA is filed under the name Ficedula albicollis (Collared flycatcher). RNAcentral describes it as "lncRNA (ENSFALG00000029059.1)". Lineage: Eukaryota; Metazoa; Chordata; Aves; Passeriformes; Muscicapidae. The record is from RNAcentral.
AUGCGGUGCCUUGCGCAGGGAUGCGGUGCCUUGCGCAGGGACGCGGUGCCUUCCGCAGGGAUGCGGUGCCUUGCGCAGGGAUGCGGUGCCUUGCGCAGGGACGCGGUGCCUUCCGCAGGGAUGCGGUGCCUUGCGCAGGGAUGCGGUGCCUUGCGCAGGGACGCGGUGCCUUCCGCAGGGAUGCGGUGCCUUGCGCAGGGAUGCGGUGCCUUGCGCAGGGACGCGGUGCCUUCCGCAGGGAUGCGGUGCCUUGCGCAGGGAUGCGGUGCCUUGCGCAGGGACGCGGUGCCUUCCGCAGGGAUGCGGUGCCUUGCGCAGGGAUGCGGUGCCUUGCGCAGGGACGCGGUGCCUUCCGCAGGGAUGCGGUGCCUUGCGCAGGGAUGCGGUGCCUUGCGCAGGGACGCGGUGCCUUCCGCAGGGAUGCGGUGCCUUGCGCAGGGAUGCGGUGCCUUGCGCAGGGACGCGGUGCCUUCCGCAGGGAUGCGGUGCCUUGCGCAGGGAUGCGGUGCCUUGCGCAGGGACGCGGUGCCUUCCGCAGGGAUGCGGUGCCUUGCGCAGGGAUGCGGUGCCUUGCGCAGGGACGCGGUGCCUUCCGCAGGGAUGCGGUGCCUUGCGCCGCCCACGGGGAGCGCUCACAGCGCGCCGGGGCCGGGGGCGGUCCGCGCAGAGCUGGAGCUGCGCGGCGUGCGCGCAAUUCUUGCCUUUCUGCCGCCUGCUGCUGCUGCGCUGCCUUCUAAGAAGAGAAGACCGCACUUUUAUCUGAGGGCAGGGAGUACGCUUUGUGGACACACAACAAUAGGUAAUUCAUGCACAGAUGGAAGAUAUAGUAUCCACUGUCUGCAUCAGAAUAUCCUGGGCUGCAUCAAAGGCAGCAUCACCAGCAGGUCAAGGGAGAUGAUUUUGUCCCUGUAUUCAACUUUGGUGAGAUCCCACCUGGAAUACUGCAUCUGGGGUCCCCAGCACAGGAACAACAUGGACCUGCUGGUGCAAGUCCAGCAGAGGGCCAAGACAAUCCAGGCUGUGGUGGAGUACCUCUCCUUUGAAGACAGGAUGAGGGACUUGGGGUUGUUCAGCCUGGAGAAGGAUCCAGGGACACCUUAG